RNAcentral lists this ribosomal RNA (301 nucleotides) under uncultured bacterium. Its description in RNAcentral is "partial 16S ribosomal RNA". It matches the Rfam family "Bacterial small subunit ribosomal RNA", at positions 509 to 809 of the family's 1533-position model. The record is from RNAcentral.
CAGUAGCCGCGGGAAAACGUAGGGUGCGAGCGUUAAUCGGAAUUACUGGGCGUAAAGCGUGCGCAGGCGGUUUUGUAAGACAGGCGUGAAAUCCCCGGGCUCAACCUGGGAAUGGCGCUUGUGACUGUAAAGCUAGAGUGCGGCAGAGGGGGAUGGAAUUCCGCGUGUAGCAGUGAAAUGCGUAGAUAUGCGGAGGAACACCGAUGGCGAAGGCAAUCCCCUGGGCCUGCACUGACGCUCAUGCACGAAAGCGUGGGGAGCAAACAGGAUUAGAUACCCCAGUAGUCCCUGUCUCUUAUAU